AGCAAUUAUACCGUGAAACUGCGAAUGGCUCAUUAAAUCAGUUAUCGUUUAUUUGAUAGUACCUUACUACUUGGAUACCCGUGGUAAUUCUAGAGCUAAUACAUGCAAAAAACCCCGACUUCUGAAGGGGUGUAUUUAUUAGAUAAAAAACCAAUGCCCUUCGGGGCUCUUUGGUGAUUCAUAAUAACUUAACGGAUCGCAUGGCCUUGCGCUGGCGACGGUUCAUUCAAAUUUCUGCCCUAUCAACUUUCGAUGGUAAGGUAUUGGCUUACCAUGGUUUCAACGGGUAACGGGUUUUUAGGGAAAGACUCCGGAGAGGCAGCCUGAGAAACGGCUACCACAUCCAAGGAAGGCAGCAGGCGCGCAAAUUACCCAAUCCUGAUACAGGGAGGUAGUGACAAUAAAUACUGAUACAGGGCUCUUUUGGGUCUUGUAAUCGGAAUGAGUACAAUUUAAAUACCUUAACGAGGAACAAUUGGAGGGCAAGUCUGGUGCCAGCAGCCGCGGUAAUUCCAGCUCCAAUAGCGUAUAUUAAAGUUGUUGCAGUUAAAAAGCUCGUAGUUGAACCUUGGGCCUGGCUGAUCGGUCCGCCUCACCGCGUGUACUGGUUCGGCUGGGCCUUUCCUUCUGGAGAACCGCAUGCCCUUCACUGGGUGUGUCGGGGAACCAGGACUUUUACUUUGAGAAAAUUAGAGUGUUCAAAGCAGGCCUUUGCUCGAAUACGUUAGCAUGGAAUAAUAGAAUAGGACGUGCGGUCCUAUUUUGUUGGUUUCUAGAACCGCCGUAAUGAUUAAUAGGGAUAGUCGGGGGCGUCAGUAUUCAAUUGUCAGAGGUGAAAUUCUUGGAUCUAUUGAAGACUAACUACUGCGAAAGCAUUCGCCAAGGAUGUUUUCAUUAAUCAGUGAACGAAAGUUAGGGGAUCGAAGACGAUCAGAUACCGUCGUAGUCUUAACCGUAAACUAUGCCGACUAGGGAUCGGGCGAUGUUUCUUUCUUGACUCGCUCGGCACCUUACGAGAAAUCAUAAGUUUUUGGGUUCUGGGGGGAGUAUGGUCGCAAGGCUGAAA
Molecule: ribosomal RNA, 1066 nt
Filed under: Parathyridariella dematiacea
Lineage: Eukaryota; Fungi; Ascomycota; Dothideomycetes; Pleosporales; Thyridariaceae
Description: SSU rRNA
Rfam family: Eukaryotic small subunit ribosomal RNA
Source: RNAcentral